This 255-nucleotide ribosomal RNA is filed under the name uncultured bacterium. RNAcentral describes it as "partial 16S ribosomal RNA". It matches the Rfam family "Bacterial small subunit ribosomal RNA", at positions 524 to 776 of the family's 1533-position model. The record is from RNAcentral.
UACGUAGGGGGCAAGCGUUGUCCGGAAUCAUUGGCGUAAGAAGCGUGUAGGCGGCCAGUAAAAGUCCGCUGUGAAAACUCGAGGCUCAACGUUCGAGCUGUCGGUGGAAACUGUCGGGCUAGAGUGCGGAAGAGGCGAGUGGAAUUCCUGGUGUAGCGGUAGAAAUGCGCAGAUAUCAGGAGGAACACCAAUUGCGAAGGCAGCUCGCUGGGACGUUACUGACGCUGAGACGCGAAAGCGUGGGGAUCAAACAGG